Rhinopithecus roxellana (golden snub-nosed monkey) is the source of this 1042-nucleotide RNA transcript. It is a transcript of the gene named ADP/ATP translocase 3-like, with no coding region annotated. The transcript has a single exon. NCBI's taxonomy places the organism in Eukaryota, Metazoa, Chordata, Mammalia, Primates, Cercopithecidae. The record is from RefSeq and is a predicted model, not a curated record.
ACCAUGACGGAACAAGCCACCUCCUUCGCCAAGGACUUCCUGGCCGGAGGCAUUACCGCUGCUCUGUCCAAGACAGCCGUGGCAUCGAUCAAGCGGGUCCAGCUGCAGCUGCAGGUGCAGCACGCCAGCAUGCUGGUCGCCGCCGAGAAGCAAUGCAAGGGCAUGGUGGACUGCAUCGUCCGCAUCCCCAAGGAUCAGGGCGUGCUGUCCUUCUAGAGGGGAAUCCUGGCCAAUGUCAUCCGCUCCUUCCCCACGCAAGCCCUCAAUUUCGCCUUCAAGGAUAAGUACAAGCAGAUCUUCCUGGGGGGCGCGGACAAGCACACGCAGUUCUGGAGGUAGUUUGCGGGCAACCUGGCCUCUGGCAGCGCGGCAGUCGUGUAUCCCCUGGAUUUCACCAGGACCCGCCUGGCAGCCGACGUGGAAAAGUCGGGCACGGAGAGCGAGUUCCGAGGCCUGGGAGACUGCCUGGUGAAGAGCCCCAAGUCCGACGGUAUCCGGGGCCUGUACCAGGGUUUCAGCGUCUCCGUGCAGGGGAUCAUCAUCUACCAGGCCGCCUGCUUCGGGGUGUACGAUACAGCCAAGGGCAUGCUCCCGGACCUCAAGAACACGCACAUCCUGGUGAGCUGGAUGAUCGCGCAGACCGUGACGGCCAUGGCUGGCGUGGUGUCCUACCCCUUCGACACAGUGCAGCGGCAGAUGAUGACGCAGUCCGGGCGCAAAGGAGCUGACGUCAUGUACACGGGCACCACAGACUGCUGGAGGAAGAUCUUCAGAGACGAGGUGGCCAAGGCCUUUUUCAAGGGUGCGUGGUCCAACGUCCUCAGAGGCAUGGGGGUGGGGGCGGGUUUCGUGCUGGUCUUGUAUGACGAGCUGAAGAAGGUCAGCUAAGGGCCUUGGCAUCCUCCACACACACCAAGGGAACCAAAAGAACCACGUAGAAUCCUGAAGUGUGCAAACCAUCGACGUUCGAGAAAUUCCAGUCAUCUUUUUCCCAGCCGGACCCUGCCUGUAGAUGGCCAGGGAAGGCUCUAGAAAAGGGGCG